GACGAACGCUGGCGGCGUGCCUAAUACAUGCAAGUCGAACGAGAGCGACCGGUGCUUGCACUGGUCAAUCUAGUGGCGAACGGGUGAGUAACACGUGGGUAACCUGCCCAUCAGAGGGGGAUAACAUUCGGAAACGGAUGCUAAAACCGCAUUGGUCCUUUAACCGCAUGGUUGAAGGAGGAAAAGAGGCGCAAGCUUCUGCUGAUGGAUGGACCCGCGGUGCAUUAGCUAGUUGGUGAGGUAACGGCUCACCAAGGCCGUGAUGCAUAGCCGACCUGAGAGGGUGAUCGGCCACAUUGGGACUGAGACACGGCCCAAACUCCUACGGGAGGCAGCAGUAGGGAAUCUUCCGCAAUGGACGCAAGUCUGACGGAGCAACGCCGCGUGAGUGAAGAAGGUUUUCGGAUCGUAAAACUCUGUUGUUAGAGAAGAACAAGUGCUAGAGUAACUGUUAGCGCCUUGACGGUAUCUAACCAGAAAGCCACGGCUAACUACGUG
This 498-nucleotide ribosomal RNA is filed under the name uncultured bacterium. RNAcentral describes it as "partial 16S ribosomal RNA". It matches the Rfam family "Bacterial small subunit ribosomal RNA", at positions 28 to 507 of the family's 1533-position model. The record is from RNAcentral.